Long non-coding RNA from Cuculus canorus (common cuckoo), 1149 nucleotides. RefSeq lists it as uncharacterized. Lineage: Eukaryota; Metazoa; Chordata; Aves; Cuculiformes; Cuculidae. The record is from RefSeq and is a predicted model, not a curated record. The transcript is spliced from 3 exons.
AAAGACCUUGUUGCCUGUACUGAUGCAUCCACCAAAUGCACAACAGGGCACUGCGCAGGCUGUGAGAGUUCAGCAAGCAGUCGGGUACCACAAAAUUAGCUACUGCUUAUCAGCAGUUCAUAAGCCUUGGCUCAUAAGGCUUGUGCUGUAGGAUCUCAUCAACUGUCCCCAGAGGCAGCAGAGGGAAACAUCACAUUCUUGAGGCAAAGAAGAAAACGUAACUGAUUUUCCUUUGAAGUUGGCUGCUAAUGGACAAGCCAAGAGACCAGGAGCUGACCCCAAAGCCAACAGUAGAUAUUGAACGACUCCACUUCCUUCUGCACUGCCAUCUCCUGGGAUACAAUUUUCAGCAGUUACAAGUGUCAGAAGACACAAGACACUGCUUUAACCAGAAGCCACAGAAGAAUACUAAGUUAUUCCAAGUUCUGCAAGUCUUACCCCCCUUACAAAUGCCUCUACUAUUAAGAAAGUAUUUACAAGAGAAGCCAGAAAUACACCUAGAGAAUUUCCUUGAAAGGAUGCCUGCAGUAUGAACUGGGGAUUCAGAACAGCCCACUUUGACUCACUGCUGGCAGCCAGAAGGAUGGAAGAGCCCCGCAUCACUGCACUUGGUGGGUUUCCCAGCUGCAAGAGGUGCCAAGGAGCCACUACAGCAAGAAUUUAACAUCCUCACCUUCUAUUCAGUGUCUGGUUGUACUGCAGUCAUAAAGCAGCUUUCCUGCAGUCAAAACCCAUGCCUGAAAUAUCAUGCGGCAAGCGUGUACCUCCAUCACAGCGGAUGCAGAUAUUUGGCUAAAGAGAAAACUGCUUCUUUUAAGCCAAAAAAUGCUUUCAUGUGAUCUCAUGGGCAAGUCCAAGACAACCACUCGUAUUUCAGACAUGAACAUAAGAAUGAGAUCAUCCCUUCCCUUCUCCUGCAUCACUCCACCCACAGCUGAGACUGGGAGAAAAGUCCACCCAUCCUUUGCAAGAUCUGGUGAUGCUUCCACCAAGAAUCAGCGUGAGGAACUGGGGGGCUCCCUUGGGAAUUCCAGGCUCUCAGGACCACGCUCGCCCAGAACCAACAGAAUGCUGAAACUCAGAGCUCCUGCUACCAGCCCCACGCCAACGAGGCCACCCCAGCUCCAUGGCUCAAUGUCCCCUCUCCCU